RNAcentral lists this ribosomal RNA (457 nucleotides) under uncultured bacterium. RNAcentral describes it as "bacterial SSU rRNA". It matches the Rfam family "Bacterial small subunit ribosomal RNA", at positions 30 to 507 of the family's 1533-position model. The record is from RNAcentral.
AUUGAACGCUGGCGGCAUGCCUUACACAUGCAAGUCGAACGGUAACGGGCCUUCGGGUGCCGACGAGUGGCGAACGGGUGAGUAAUGUAUCGGAACGUACCUUUCAGUGGGGGAUAACGUAGCGAAAGUUACGCUAAUACCGCAUAUUCUGUGCGCAGGAAAGCAGGGGAUCGCAAGACCUUGCGCUGAUUGAGCGGCCGAUAUCAGAUUAGCUAGUUGGUGAGGUAAAGGCUCACCAAGGCGACGAUCUGUAGCGGGUCUGAGAGGAUGAUCCGCCACACUGGAACUGAGACACGGUCCAGACUCCUACGGGAGGCAGCAGUGGGGAAUUUUGGACAAUGGGGGCAACCCUGAUCCAGCCAUGCCGCGUGGAGGAAGAAGGUUUUCGGAUUGUAAACUCCUGUCUUUUGGGACGAUAAUGACGGUACCAAAAGAGGAAGCCACGGCUAACUACGUG